RNAcentral lists this ribosomal RNA (501 nucleotides) under uncultured bacterium. RNAcentral describes it as "partial 16S ribosomal RNA". It matches the Rfam family "Bacterial small subunit ribosomal RNA", at positions 30 to 523 of the family's 1533-position model. The record is from RNAcentral.
AUUGAACGCUGGCGGCAGGCUUAACACAUGCAAGUCGAGCGGGGGAAGGUAGCUUGCUACCGGACCUAGCGGCGGACGGGUGAGUAAUGCUUAGGGAUCUGCCUAUUAGUGGGGGACAACAUCUCGAAAGGGAUGCUAAUACCGCAUACGUCCUACGGGAGAAAGCAGGGGAUCUUCGGACCUUGCGCUAAUAGAUGAGCCUAAGUCGGAUUAGCUAGUUGGUGGGGUAAAGGCCUACCAAGGCGACGAUCUGUAGCGGGUCUGAGAGGAUGAGCCACCACACUGGGACUGGGACACGGCCCAGACUCCUACGGGAGGCAGCAGUGGGGAAUAUUGGACAAUGGGGGGAGCCCUGAUCCAGCCAUGCCGCGUGUGUGAAGAAGGCCUUAUGGUUGUAAAGCACUUUAAGCGAGGAGGAGGCUACUUUAGUUAAUACCUAGAGAUAGUGGACGUUACUCGCAGAAUAAGCACCGGCUAACUCUGUGCCAGCCGCCGCCGUAA